RNAcentral lists this ribosomal RNA (779 nucleotides) under uncultured Neocallimastigales. Its description in RNAcentral is "partial large subunit ribosomal RNA". It matches the Rfam family "Eukaryotic large subunit ribosomal RNA", at positions 20 to 639 of the family's 3401-position model. Lineage: Eukaryota; Fungi; Neocallimastigomycota; Neocallimastigomycetes; Neocallimastigales. The record is from RNAcentral.
CAUCACUACGCUAGAUGCAUAUCAAUAAGCGGAGGAAAAGAAACUAACUAGGAUUCCCUCAGUAACGGCGAGUGAAGCGGGAAGAGCUCAAAUUUGAAAUCUUCAAGGUUCUACCUUGACGAAUUGUAGUUUAAAGAAGUGUUUUCUGUUGAAGUUUUGGUAAAAGUUCUUUGGAAUAGGACAUCAUAGAGGGUGAGAAUCCCGUAUUUGACCAUUAUUUUCAGCUGUGUGAUACACUUUCAAAGAGUCGGAUUGUUUGGGAAUGCAGUCCAAAAUGGGUGGUAAAUUUCAUCUAAAGCUAAAUACUGGCGAGAGACCGAUAGCGAACAAGUACCGUGAGGGAAAGAUGAAAAGAACUUUGAAAAGAGAGUUAAACAGUACGUGAAAUUGUCAAAAGGGAAGCGUUUGACACCAGUGUUGUUUUCUCGAAAAUCAAUUAAAAAUGGCUGGAUUUUGUGUUGUAUUGACCUUUAAUCAGCUUUCUUCACUCCUUUUCCUGUCUUUUUUAAUGCACUUUUCGUUUAACAAGUCAACAUCAGUUCCUUUUGCUGUAAAAGAGUCAUUGGAAGGUGGCUUUCUUUUCGGAGAAAGUGUUUAUAGCCUUUGCUCUCUGCAAUCGGAGAGAUUGAGGUCUGCAGCGUAGAUCCUUCGGGGUUAGAUACAUUUGUGCUAAGUUAUAGCCUUUUCAUAGACAACUUGUUGACUAUAUUCAGUCAUGUAGGCUUACUCGCUUAUGUCAUUUUACCUACGCUUAGGAUGUUGACGCGCGUGUGUGCGUG